GCCUGGGUGGCUCAGUCGGUUGAGCGUCCGACUUCGGCUCAGGUCAUGAUCUCACAGUCUGUGGGUUCGAACCCCGCGUCAGGCU
Molecule: transfer RNA, 85 nt
Filed under: Felis catus (domestic cat)
Lineage: Eukaryota; Metazoa; Chordata; Mammalia; Carnivora; Felidae
Rfam family: tRNA
About the family: Transfer RNA (tRNA) molecules are approximately 80 nucleotides in length.
Source: Rfam by way of RNAcentral